Molecule: long non-coding RNA, 788 nt
Organism: Haemorhous mexicanus (house finch)
Lineage: Eukaryota; Metazoa; Chordata; Aves; Passeriformes; Fringillidae
Exons: 2
Source: RefSeq, a predicted model, not a curated record
GCGCCGGGCCCGUGAGGGGAAAGGCGGCGGGAGCAGGAGAGAGGUGAGGGGGUACCGGGAUAUCUCGAUAGGCGCCGCGAAAGACAGCGGGAUAUCGGGAUAGCGACCGCGAUACACAGCGCGAUGCAUUCCGCGAUCGACACCAGGAUAGACACCGGAAUAUCGAUCCUGCUGAGCUUCAAGGACCUGCUAAGACCUGACCCCAGAGCACCAGUGGGCGCCCGAAAUGCACACCUGGACCCCAAAAUGCGCAGCUGGACCCCAAAAUCCUAUAAAGCACCCCAUAAAGCCUGAACCCCCAAACCCGGAGAUACCUGAAGUACACCUGAACUCCAGGGGGUUUGGGGGGUCCCGAGACCCCCUGUUUUUGGGUUUUGGGGUGUCCCUGGGUGGUGUUUGGGGUUCCCAGGGUGGUGGCCCCACUUUUGGGGUUUUGGGGUGUCCCUGAGUGGUAUUUGGGGUUUUCCCAGGGCUGUGACCCCUCCUGUUUUGGGAUUUUCGGGUUUCGCAGGGUGGUGACCCCCCAUUUUUGGGGUCUUGGGGUGUCCCUGGGUACUGUUUGGGGGUCCCAGGGCUGUGACCCCACUUUUGAGGUUUUGGGGUGUCCUAGGGCAGUGACUCCCCUGUUUUAAUCCCCCCAGAUGGAAGCCUACCCCCUUUGUCCCCAAAUGGGAGUCACCAAAACCGAGGGGGGGGGUCCCCAAAAGACCCAGGAGGGGGCCCCAGCCCCCCCCAAGGCUUUGUUGUAAAUGAGUUUGGGACGAACCAAUAAAGUUUGGGAGAAAAAU